UAAGAUUUCCACUCUGGAAGGUGGGUUCACUUUUUUGCGUUUUCAACCCUCAAAAAUGCCGUUGCCGUCGAAACAAAAGGCACAUCUCAUCAAAUAUUUUGCUGUUUUCGCCCCAGAG
Sphaeramia orbicularis (orbiculate cardinalfish) is the source of this 118-nucleotide long non-coding RNA. RefSeq lists it as uncharacterized. Lineage: Eukaryota; Metazoa; Chordata; Actinopteri; Kurtiformes; Apogonidae. The record is from RefSeq and is a predicted model, not a curated record. The transcript is spliced from 3 exons.